AAUUUAUCUGGAAUUUCCUAGAAUUUUCUAGAAAUUUCUGAAUUUUCUAGAAAUUUCUGAAUUUUCUAGAAAUUCUCUGAAUUUUGCUAAAAAGAUUCUGAAUUUUUCUGAAAAAAUUUCAGAAGUUUUCUAACAAUUUUUGAGCCUUCCUAAAAUUUUCUGAUUUUUUCUGAAACUUAUAUAAAUUUUCUGGAAUUUUCUGGAAUUUUCUGGAAUUU
This is a non-coding RNA of Caenorhabditis elegans, 218 nucleotides long. NCBI's taxonomy places the organism in Eukaryota, Metazoa, Nematoda, Chromadorea, Rhabditida, Rhabditidae. The record is from Ensembl.